RNAcentral lists this ribosomal RNA (460 nucleotides) under uncultured bacterium. RNAcentral describes it as "partial 16S ribosomal RNA". It matches the Rfam family "Bacterial small subunit ribosomal RNA", at positions 338 to 795 of the family's 1533-position model. The record is from RNAcentral.
CCUACGGGCGGCAGCAGUGAGGAAUAUUGGUCAAUGGACGAGAGUCUGAACCAGCCAAGUAGCGUGAAGGAUGACUGCCCUAUGGGUUGUAAACUUCUUUUAUAUGGGAAUAAAAUGUUCCACGUGUGGGAUUUUGUAUGUACCAUAUGAAUAAGGAUCGGCUAACUCCGUGCCAGCAGCCGCGGUAAUACGGAGGAUCCGAGCGUUAUCCGGAUUUAUUGGGUUUAAAGGGAGCGUAGGUGGAUUGUUAAGUCAGUUGUGAAAGUUUGCGGCUCAACCGUAAAAUUGCAGUUGAAACUGGCAGUCUUGAGUACAGUAGAGGUGGGCGGAAUUCGUAGUGUAGCGGUGAAAUGCUUAGAUAUCACGAAGAACUCCGAUUGCGAAGGCAGUUCACUGGACUGCAACUGACACUGAGGCUCGAAAGUGUGGGUAUCAAACAGGAUUAGAUACCCUUGUAGUC